GAGGUAGGUCUUAGUCCUCUGAAAUCCAAUGCUGGCUUCACUUGGAUUUCCCAGUUGUGUGGUGUUCAGUCCUCGGCAUAUGCCAAUCAGCAGAGUCAUGUGUCUUGCUGGAGCUUUGGGUCUAGAAGACUGGGUUUGAACCAGUCUCAGUCACAGCAGUAGUGACCAUAGGAGAGACUGCUUGUGACCUGGCCUCCCCUUUCUUUCUCCAUGUGAAGUAAGGAUUGUUAUGAGUGAUAGCAACCAGAGAACCUUAACAGGAGUGGCUCCGUGGUAUGUGGAGGGCCAGUGUCCCUGGGAGCUUCUCCAUGCUGCAUAUACGUGUAUGCAGACGGUGAACAUGAGCACACCAAGGACAAUGUGGUCCUUUCCCCAGUGUCAGGGUGCAGGUGGAAUGGGAUGUACCUCCUGCCAGCAUGGCCGUGCGCCCAGUGGCUUGUCUGCAGUGUUUGUAUCUGGCCAUGCCAGCAGGGAGUUGUUGCUUCACAGCCCAGUUCUCCUCUGUCCCCUUGAGGCCUUUUCCUCUUCUCCCCAUCCCACUUGCUGAUAUUUCCUUGGUCUGUUUCG
RNAcentral lists this long non-coding RNA (567 nucleotides) under Rattus norvegicus (Norway rat). RNAcentral's name for it is "long non-coding RNA NONRATT011657". The record is from RNAcentral. Lineage: Eukaryota; Metazoa; Chordata; Mammalia; Rodentia; Muridae.